This 337-nucleotide unclassified non-coding RNA is filed under the name soil metagenome. RNAcentral describes it as "partial contains 5.8S ribosomal RNA, internal transcribed spacer 2, and large subunit ribosomal RNA". The stretch from base 1 to 120 matches the Rfam family "5.8S ribosomal RNA", at positions 35 to 154 of the family's 154-position model. The record is from RNAcentral.
GAUGAAGAACGUAGCGAAAUGCGAUACGUAGUGUGAAUUGCAGAAUUCAGUGAAUCAUCGAAUCUUUGAACGCACAUUGCGCCCUUUGGUAUUCCAAAGGGCAUGCCUGUUCGAGCGUCAUUUGUACCCUCAAGCUUUGCUUGGUGUUGGCGUCUUGUCUCCAGUCCGCUGGAGACUCGCCUUAAAGUCAUUGGCAGCCGGCCUACUGGUUUCGGAGCGCAGCACAAGUCGCACUCUUUUCCAGCCAAGGUCAGUGUCCAACAAGCCUUUUUUCAACUUUUGACCUCGGAUCAGGUAGGGAUACCCGCUGAACUUAAGCAUAUCAAUAAGCGGAGGA